RNAcentral lists this long non-coding RNA (440 nucleotides) under Salvia miltiorrhiza (redroot sage). Its description in RNAcentral is "long non-coding RNA (SMIL_LNC014319)". The record is from RNAcentral. Lineage: Eukaryota; Viridiplantae; Streptophyta; Magnoliopsida; Lamiales; Lamiaceae.
GUGGAAUUACCGAUCUCUGCAAAUCGGUCUUUAUCUACUGAUUUCAGUCGUUUUCUUCCACCGGCACAUAUUCCAGCGGAGCUUGACGGCCGGGGGGAGAUCAAUGACCGACGAGAACAAGAGAGAGAGGAGAAAGAGAGAGCGAGUGAUAAUAGAGAGAGAGAGAGAGAUAUGAGAAAAUAUUUAAUUUUUUAAGUUAAAAUUGUAUUUUUGUAUGACCAAAUUUUAAAGUCAUUUUUUUACCUAACGAUAUUGUUUGUUUUUUUUUUUUUUUUUUUUAAUUUCUUCUCCUAUAAAUACCCCUCCUACCGUAAUCAACUUCAUUCUUCCAUACUCCUAUCUCCUAUCUCGUGUAUCUCUCAAGCAGCUUGGUGAUGACAAGACUACCAAUGACUACAAAAUCGAAGACAAUCGGACUUAUGAUUGAAAGAGUACAAAUC